UUGUUUUCAACCAAUACUCUGUAACACCAGUUGAGUGUCAAUUAAUGAGGUGCCUGUAUUAAAUACAUUUGAAGAUCAAUCCAUAAGUCCAAUAGAUAAUGAAGCUGCUGAACAGUCGUCAAAAAAAAAAAAAAAACAAUGUAAAAGAUAAUAUAGUUAAUACUUCCAUGACAAUUGAUGAUUCAUCUAAUAAUUUGUUGUCCAUUACUUUGGAACCAAUUUAGAAAAGAACCUUACAAUGUAUUAUAAUGGACGUUUGCAAUGCUGAAUAUUUCACAAGGAAUGAACACGGGUUUAUUUUUGAAAUGUCUAAGGAAGUUGUACUUCCUAAUUUAUAUUGGAAGAGUGAACAUCUUAAUACACAAAAUGCAACAUGUUUUUAUCAACAAGACACUAAUGAUGUGUUCUGGCUGUCAAGGGUUGGUAAAAAGAAUGAAAACAAAAAUUGAAGCUAAAAACAACUAUCGUAAACUAUGAUUGCUGAAAAGACAGAAAUUGUAUUCAAGCUAAGAAAAAAAAUGGCAGAAAUGAAAAGAAAUUGUCAACUUAGACUUGUAUUAAAACCAUUAGGAAUUUCAAAUAUCGUCAGUGGAAAGAAAAAAGGGCGUAAACGAUGUUUUUGAUGAAAUUUGUUUUUUUUUUAAUUAAGGGGUAAAUGACAUAAUUCUGUUGGUUAUUAUAAUUAUUGAUAAUAUCUAUAAAUUUUGUUUUGUUAAUUUUUAAAUAAACAGAGUAGAAUAAAAUUAUAAUAAUAUUAUUAUUAUGCUGGUUGUAACCACCAAAAUCCAGGUUAAUAACAAGAAUAAGGCGUAAGCUGUAAAAAGCGUAAGCGACAUACUCCCAAUAAUGUUAGACGUAAGCACUAAAAACUAAUGUAUACUAAUGUAUACUACUAUUUAUAUACUAAUGUAUUUAAAUUAACAUUACAGGUAAAAAAAUAACAAUUCAUAAUUUAUUAUGUUACCAACUUAUUUAGAAUAUA
Molecule: RNA transcript, 982 nt
Organism: Acyrthosiphon pisum (pea aphid)
Lineage: Eukaryota; Metazoa; Arthropoda; Insecta; Hemiptera; Aphididae
Exons: 4
Source: RefSeq, a predicted model, not a curated record